GGCUGAAGUAACUGCUACCAAAAUUGGAAUCUAAUUGAAUCGAGAGAACUCAGGGAGAAUUCGAGAUGAUGGUUAGGGUUUUUCUUGAUUUCGAUAGGAGAUGAAGAGUCCGAAGCAGAUUGAAGAAUCUCUGUUGCUGUUAAAUAUCAGUGUUGAAUGAAGUUAUUCUGAUGACGAGAUAUCAGCUAAGGAAAGAGCUAUUUCUAUUGAUUCAUGGUGAUGAGCUGAAGAGAUUCAAUGGAAGUACUAGAGUCUUGUAUGAAUUAGAAGACAUGGGUUCUCAUCAGAUUUGAUUUGCAGCAAGAAAAAUGAGACGAAUUCCUGAUGGUUAUGGAUGUUAGGGUUUGAGUUGAUGUUCUGAUUUUAAAAAUUAGGGUUGAAAUUCAAAAGUUUGAUGGGACUGGAAUCAGAGAAUGGUUGAGUAUUUAAGAAAGAGAAGAAUUGUGAUUGGGUAUCUGAAUUUAGAUAAUGAACUAGUAAAUCAAGAUGGAGUUCAUCUGUGAAGCACCAGUAAAUUCUGCACACAGGUUGUUUGUAGAAAGGCUUAAUCCAAUUACAGGAAGAAGAUGAACUUCUGGAAGAGAGGUUAUGAAGCUACAUAAGUAUCGACAGUAUUGGUGUUGUUAGUUGUUGUUGCUGGUGGAUUGACUAGGUUUGAAGUGUUGAGCAGUUGAGAAAGAUAAGAAUUUUGAUUGGGUAUAGUUGCAAAUUCACAUCUUUUGAGUCAAUUGAUGUGAAUUUUACUGGUCAGAGUGGGAACCCAUCUGUAACCCUUGGUUUCAAAAAUUUUGGUCUCUAUAUGAUUUUCCUUGAUCAAGUGGGCAAUCUAUCUGCAAGUAAUCUCAUUCAAGGUUUCACCAUCUUAUUUCCAUGAUCAAGUAGGUAAUCUAAAGUAAAUAUUAUCAGAGCUAUGGUUAUUGGCUCUCGUAUUACUGGAUUAACAACAACACUGUACGGGAAGCUCCACAUAUCCGCAAUGGAACAAUAGAUAACUAGAAGAGGUGCAACUAUGGAUUACAAUUUGAACCCAUUCUAGGAAGCAUCUUUGGUCAUCACAUAAAUCUCAGCAAAAGAGUGGAGGACAAGAACAAAGGUCUGCAAUGUAAUGAAGUAGUGUUCAGCUGAGGCAGAGAAAAUUUUGUUGGUUGCAGUGUGGGGCUGAUGAAUGAAUAUGUGUUUACAAGGAAUGGUGGUUGAAUGGGGAUUGAUUUAGCACUUGAGCUCAAUCGAAGCUGGGAGUUGCGGGUGGUGUUUGAGUUUUGGAAGGAGGCUGUGUGAGAUGCAGGGAUUAUGAUAUUGAGGAAUUAGCGGAACUGAGAAGGAUCAUUGGGUUCUGGAUUGUGUGAACUAGAACAGCUGCUGCUAUGGUUUAUGGGCUGGAGUGUUGUUAGCUGCUUCAGAUGGCGGGGUUGUUUCGUUGGUUAAUAGCAGUUUAGAAGAACGUUGCAGGCUUGCAAGUCUGGUGCAGUGGAGGUUAUAAUGGCUUUGUGCAACUGUGACUAGAUGAAUAUAUAGGUUUACAAGAAGAUGGUGGAUGCUCAUUGAUGGCUAUGGCAAUGAGGAGAUGCAUCGUAGUUAGGGAGUUUUGUGUUGUUGUUCUGAGCUAGUGUAUGUUUAGAUGCAGGCGUGGAUGCAUAUGUUAUAGUUGAGAUUAAUUGGAUGGAGGAUACAGAGAUGAGAUGGUGCAGGAA
Papaver somniferum (opium poppy) is the source of this 1691-nucleotide long non-coding RNA. RefSeq lists it as uncharacterized. The transcript has 3 exons. The record is from RefSeq and is a predicted model, not a curated record. Lineage: Eukaryota; Viridiplantae; Streptophyta; Magnoliopsida; Ranunculales; Papaveraceae.